CCUCCGGGGGAUUGCGUUAGUACGGCGAGUGAAGCGGCAAAAGCUCAAAUUUGAAAUCUGGCACCUUCGGUGUCCGAGUUGUAAUUUGAAGAAGGUAACUUUGGAGUUGGCUCUUGUCUAUGUUCCUUGGAACAGGACGUCACAGAGGGUGAGAAUCCCGUGCGAUGAGAUGCCCAAUUCUAUGUAAAGUGCUUUCGAAGAGUCGAGUUGUUUGGGAAUGCAGCUCUAAGUGGGUGGUAAAUUCCAUCUAAAGCUAAAUAUUGGCGAGAGACCGAUAGCGAACAAGUACAGUGAUGGAAAGAUGAAAAGAACUUUGAAAAGAGAGUGAAAAAGUACGUGAAAUUGUUGAAAGGGAAGGGCUUGAGAUCAGACUUGGUAUUUUGCGAUCCUUUCCUUCUUGGUUGGGUUCCUCGCAGCUUACUGGGCCAGCAUCGGUUUGGAUGGUAGGAUAAUGACUAAGGAAUGUGGCUCUACUUCGGUGGAGUGUUAUAGCCUUGGUUGAUACUGCCUGUCUAGACCGAGGACUGCGUCUUUUGACUAGGAUGUUGGCAUAAUGAUCUUAAGCCACCCGUCUUGAAAACACGAGACCAAAA
RNAcentral lists this ribosomal RNA (593 nucleotides) under Debaryomyces hansenii. RNAcentral describes it as "LSU rRNA". It matches the Rfam family "Eukaryotic large subunit ribosomal RNA", at positions 65 to 671 of the family's 3401-position model. The record is from RNAcentral. Lineage: Eukaryota; Fungi; Ascomycota; Pichiomycetes; Serinales; Debaryomycetaceae.